UGCGGCGUGCUUAACACAUGCAAGUCGAACGAUGAAGAUCCCAGCUUGCUGGGGUUGGAUUAGUGGCGAACGGGUGAGUAACACGUGAGUAACCUGCCCCUGACUUCGGGAUAACUCCGAGAAAUCGGUGCUAAUACCGGAUAUGACACUUCCUCGCAUGGGGUGGUGUGGAAAGAUUUAUCGGUUGGGGAUGGGCUCGCGGCCUAUCAGCUUGUUGGUGGGGUGAUGGCCUACCAAGGCGUCGACGGGUAGCCGGCCUGAGAGGGUGUCCGGCCACACUGGGACUGAGACACGGCCCAGACUCCUACGGGAGGCAGCAGUGGGGAAUAUUGCACAAUGGGCGAAAGCCUGAUGCAGCGACGCCGCGUGAGGGAUGACGGCCUUCGGGUUGUAAACCUCUUUCAGUAGGGGACAAGGCCUCCUUUUUGGGGGGUUGAGGGUACCUGCAGAAGAAGCGCCGGCUAACUACGUGCCAGCAGCCGCGGUAAUACGUAGGGCGCAAGCGUUGUCCGGAAUUAUUGGGCGUAAAGAGCUCGUAGGCGGUUUGUCGCGUCUGCUGUGAAAACGCGGGGCUUAACCCUGCGCCUGCAGUGGGUACGGGCAGACUUGAGUGCGGUAGGGGAGACUGGAAUUCCUGGUGUAGCGGUGGAAUGCGCAGAUAUCAGGAGGAACACCGGUGGCGAAGGCGGGUCUCUGGGCCGUUACUGACGCUGAGGAGCGAAAGCAUGGGGAGCGAACAGGAUUAGAUACCCUGGUAGUCCAUGCCGUAAACGUUGGGCACUAGGUGUGGGGACCGUUUCCACGGUUUCCGUGCCGUAGCUAACGCAUUAAGUGCCCCGCCUGGGGAGUACGGCCGCAAGGCUAAAACUCAAAGGAAUUGACGGGGGCCCGCACAAGCGGCGGAGCGUGCGGAUUAAUUCGAUGCAACGCGAAGAACCUUACCAAGGUUUGACAUGCACUGGAAACACCCAGAGAUGGGUGCCCCUUUUUGGCCGGGGCACAGGUGGUGCAUGGUUGUCGUCAGCUCGUGUCGUGAGAUGUUGGGUUAAGUCCCGCAACGAGCGCAACCCUUGUCCUGUGUUGCCAGCGGGUAAUGCCGGGGACUCAUGGGAGACUGCCGGGGUCAACUCGGAGGAAGGUGGAGACGACGUCAAAUCAUCAUGCCCCUUAUGUCUUGGGCUUCACGCAUGCUACAAUGGGCGGUACAAAGGGUUGCGAUGCCGCGAGGUGGAGCGAAUCCCAAAAAGCCGGUCUCAGUUCGGAUUGGGGUCUGCAACUCGACCCCAUGAAGUCGGAGUCGCUAGUAAUCGCAGAUCAGCAACGCUGCGGUGAAUACGUUCUCGGGCCUUGUACACACCGCCCGUCACGUCACGAAAGUCGGUAACACCCGAAGCCGGUGGCCCACCCCUUUG
RNAcentral lists this ribosomal RNA (1412 nucleotides) under Georgenia sp. Its description in RNAcentral is "bacterial SSU rRNA". It matches the Rfam family "Bacterial small subunit ribosomal RNA". Lineage: Bacteria; Bacillati; Actinomycetota; Actinomycetes; Allobogoriellales; Allobogoriellaceae. The record is from RNAcentral.